CCCCUAGACGUUCUGGGCUGCACGCGCGCUACAAUAAUACGCACAGCGAGUAUCACCGAGCUCGAAAGGGCAAGGUAAACAAUAGAAAAGGUACUGUAAUGGUUAUAGAUCCUUGUAAUUAUUGAUCUUCAACGAGGAAUUUCUAGUAAGUAUGUGUCAUCAUCACGCACUGAUUACGUCCCUGCCCUUUGUACACACCGCCCGUCGCUCCUACCGAUUGGGUGAGCCGAUGAAACUCUCGGAUGUAGGCUAUUCAUAGCCCGCAGAAGAGAUUUGAAUCGUAGCGCUUAGAGGAAGGAGAAGUCGUAACA
RNAcentral lists this ribosomal RNA (311 nucleotides) under uncultured eukaryote. Its description in RNAcentral is "partial 18S ribosomal RNA". It matches the Rfam family "Eukaryotic small subunit ribosomal RNA", at positions 1470 to 1796 of the family's 1831-position model. The record is from RNAcentral.